Molecule: small RNA, 444 nt
Filed under: Pan troglodytes (chimpanzee)
Lineage: Eukaryota; Metazoa; Chordata; Mammalia; Primates; Hominidae
Description: processed transcript
Source: RNAcentral
AUUUUGACUGUGGAGAAGGGGGCUCUGGUAAAGUAUCUUGAUCAUCUCUUAGGGUAUGGGAUUGUGAGGAAUUACUCUCUUUUCACCCAAAGGAAUUGGAAUGAGCAUCUGAAGUCAAAACUGCCUCUCCUCUACAGCAGAAUUCCCGUACUGAUUAGUCAACAGUGGAAAAUCUGAAGAGAUGCAAGCAGGAAAAAGAAAUUAAACCAGGCCUGAGGAGCGAUGCGACAGGCAUGAUGGAGGUCGAGUCCUCCUACUCGGACUUCAUCUCCUGUGACCGGACAGGCCGUCGGAAUGCAGUCCCUGACAUCCAGGGAGACUCAGAGGCUGUGAGCGUGAGGAAGCUGGCUGGAGACAUGGGCGAGCUGGCACUCGAGGGGGCAGGUUAGAGCCAGCAGGUCCUUGGCACUACUGCAUGCCAGAGGCCCUCUGCCGGGCCCCGGC